Molecule: long non-coding RNA, 247 nt
Filed under: Trifolium pratense (red clover)
Lineage: Eukaryota; Viridiplantae; Streptophyta; Magnoliopsida; Fabales; Fabaceae
Description: long non-coding RNA (TPRA_LNC012377)
Source: RNAcentral
UUUUUGGGUAAUUUACUGAUUUUUUUAUUAUAUAUAUGUAUAGAGGUUAAUUUUACUGAUUUUUUAAAUUAUUAUUAAUUAAUUAAUUCAUUGUUUAAUACUUUUAAAAUAUUUGAUGUAAAAAAAUUAAAGACAUAGAAACAUUUUGUCAUCAUGGUACUGCCACGUCAAUAAUAAGUUUGACACAUCAGCAAAAAUUUGACCAAAUUGAGUUUAAGGACUAAAAUUCAAAAAAUCUAAAAUUGGG